GAUGAACGCUGACGGCGUGCCUAAUACAUGCAAGUCGAGCGAACGGACGAGAAGCUUGCUUCUCUGAUGUUAGCGGCGGACGGGUGAGUAACACGUGGAUAACCUACCUAUAAGACUGGGAUAACUUCGGGAAACCGGAGCUAAUACCGGAUAAUAUUUUGAACCGCAUGGUUCAAAAGUGAAAGACGGUCUUGCUGUCACUUAUAGAUGGAUCCGCGCUGCAUUAGCUAGUUGGUAAGGUAACGGCUUACCAAGGCAACGAUGCAUAGCCGACCUGAGAGGGUGAUCGGCCACACUGGAACUGAGACACGGUCCAGACUCCUACGGGAGGCAGCAGUAGGGAAUCUUCCGCAAUGGGCGAAAGCCUGACGGAGCAACGCCGCGUGAGUGAUGAAGGUCUUCGGAUCGUAUAACUCUGUUAUUAGGGAAGAACAUAUGUGUAAGUAACUGUGCACAUCUUGACGGUACCUAAUCAGAAAGCCACGGCUAACUACGUG
This 497-nucleotide ribosomal RNA is filed under the name uncultured bacterium. RNAcentral's name for it is "partial 16S ribosomal RNA". It matches the Rfam family "Bacterial small subunit ribosomal RNA", at positions 28 to 507 of the family's 1533-position model. The record is from RNAcentral.